This 720-nucleotide ribosomal RNA is filed under the name Bacillus paralicheniformis. RNAcentral's name for it is "bacterial SSU rRNA". It matches the Rfam family "Bacterial small subunit ribosomal RNA", at positions 102 to 806 of the family's 1533-position model. The record is from RNAcentral. Lineage: Bacteria; Bacillati; Bacillota; Bacilli; Caryophanales; Bacillaceae.
ACGGGUGAGUAACACGUGGGUAACCUGCCUGUAAGACUGGGAUAACUCCGGGAAACCGGGGCUAAUACCGGAUGCUUGAUUGAACCGCAUGGUUCAAUUAUAAAAGGUGGCUUUUAGCUACCACUUACAGAUGGACCCGCGGCGCAUUAGCUAGUUGGUGAGGUAACGGCUCACCAAGGCAACGAUGCGUAGCCGACCUGAGAGGGUGAUCGGCCACACUGGGACUGAGACACGGCCCAGACUCCUACGGGAGGCAGCAGUAGGGAAUCUUCCGCAAUGGACGAAAGUCUGACGGAGCAACGCCGCGUGAGUGAUGAAGGUUUUCGGAUCGUAAAACUCUGUUGUUAGGGAAGAACAAGUACCGUUCGAAUAGGGCGGUACCUUGACGGUACCUAACCAGAAAGCCACGGCUAACUACGUGCCAGCAGCCGCGGUAAUACGUAGGUGGCAAGCGUUGUCCGGAAUUAUUGGGCGUAAAGCGCGCGCAGGCGGUUUCUUAAGUCUGAUGUGAAAGCCCCCGGCUCAACCGGGGAGGGUCAUUGGAAACUGGGGAACUUGAGUGCAGAAGAGGAGAGUGGAAUUCCACGUGUAGCGGUGAAAUGCGUAGAGAUGUGGAGGAACACCAGUGGCGAAGGCGACUCUCUGGUCUGUAACUGACGCUGAGGCGCGAAAGCGUGGGGAGCGAACAGGAUUAGAUACCCUGGUAGUCCACGCCGUAAA